GCGGCCUAUCAGCUUGUUGGUGAGGUAAUGGCUCACCAAGGCAACGACGGGUAGCCGGCCUGAGAGGGCGACCGGCCACACUGGGACUGAGACACAGCCCAGACUCCUACGGGAGGCAGCAGUGGGGAAUAUUGGGCAAUGGAGGAAACUCUGACCCAGCGACGCCGCGUGCGGGAUGAAGGCCUUCGGAUUGUAAACCGCUUUCAGUAGGGAAGAAGCGAAAGUGACGGUACCUACAAAAGAAGCACCGGCUAACUAUGUGCCAGCAGCCGCGGUAAUACAUAGGGUGCAAGCGUUGUCCGGAAUUAUUGGGCGUAAAGAGCUCGUAGGUCGUUUGUUACGUCGGAUGUGAAAACCUGAGGCUCAACCUCAGGCCUGCAUUCGAUACGGGCAAACUAGAGUUUGGUAGGGGAGACUGGAAUUCCU
This 426-nucleotide ribosomal RNA is filed under the name uncultured Actinomycetes bacterium. RNAcentral describes it as "bacterial SSU rRNA". It matches the Rfam family "Bacterial small subunit ribosomal RNA", at positions 233 to 671 of the family's 1533-position model. Lineage: Bacteria; Bacillati; Actinomycetota; Actinomycetes. The record is from RNAcentral.